This 72-nucleotide transfer RNA is filed under the name Anomaloglossus megacephalus. Its description in RNAcentral is "tRNA-Leu". The record is from RNAcentral. Lineage: Eukaryota; Metazoa; Chordata; Amphibia; Anura; Aromobatidae.
GCUUUUAAAGGAAAACAGUUUUCCUCUGGUCUUAGGAUCCAGCACUUCUCGGUGCAAAUCCAAGUAAAAGCU